Molecule: long non-coding RNA, 1141 nt
Filed under: Astyanax mexicanus (Mexican tetra)
Lineage: Eukaryota; Metazoa; Chordata; Actinopteri; Characiformes; Acestrorhamphidae
Description: lncRNA (ENSAMXG00005014404.1)
Source: RNAcentral
AUGAUUUUCCCUUUGUAUCUUACUGGAGGUGGACAGUUGCUGACUGUUUGCAGUAGGAGGGGCCUCCUCCACCUCGGAGGGGUCCUACUCUCAAGCACCCCAUGUUUGGAGAGCUCUAAUCCAGCUUUCCAGUCUGGUUAGUGCUGCUCAGUCUCAGCAGCCAGGUGGCCCAUUCACGCUGGAGGCCACCACAGGGGGGUCGAGGGCAUACAGAAACGGCCGGCCAGCCACAAAGAGCUGGACGUCCAAUCGCUGCUACUGAAAAGAUUGGCGCCAAACCCCAGAGGCUCACAAAGAGCAGCCAGUGCAGGAGCGCUGAUCUAAGACCAGAGAUUUCUGCCUAGUUAUGAUGAUCAACCAUCAUAAGAGCUGGUCUGAGAGCAGCGCAGUCCCCCUGAGGGAGAUGCUUUGUUCCAGAUGGAGGCCCCUCGAAUAGCAAACGCCCCCAAAAUAUACACUCCCACGUCACAUUCGGACUGUUCUCUGAAACUUCUUCAUCUCUGAGCGAGCGGCCCUGCCCACUUCCCUCAAAACACAAGAGAGCUUCCCGCCAUUCUCAACACUGUCUGUUCUCGGUCUUUUACUUACACACACGCACACAAAUACCAUCAACAUACUGUACUACAGUGAUAUUAUACAGUAUAGUAAUCAACCCUGCCCUGAAGCACUAACAAAAAGUUUUCCACUACAGCAACUGACGGAGUGAUACACUAAGUCUGAAGUUGUGCUUCUUAUUCUUGUGAUGGAGGUACAAGAAGAUGGCUAUUGAUUGUAUACAGUGGUAUGCAAAAGUCUGGGCAUCCCUGGUCACCAUUUCAUUCUCAGAUUACAGAAGUAGAAAGUAGAAAAGUAACUGGGGUCUGAUUCACUAAAAAAAGGUCUAAAGAAAGAACUAUGUCUUAGUUGUUUUUAGAAGCUAAGGUACACUAUCUUAUCUAAAAUAUAAUUCUCCUCCUUUCCAAUCCCAGGAGAAAGAGCAGGAAGAAUAGAGAAAAGGAACAGUAAUUAGAGAAAUGAACCAGCUGAUCCUUUUUAAUAGGGUGGUGACUACUGAUGAACUGAGCCAAUCACAAUGCUCAAUUUCAGCUCACCCUACUACUACCCCAGCCAAUCGUAGCUGCUGCAUAUGGCCAUACUUUUG